This 274-nucleotide ribosomal RNA is filed under the name uncultured bacterium. RNAcentral's name for it is "partial 16S ribosomal RNA". It matches the Rfam family "Bacterial small subunit ribosomal RNA", at positions 523 to 796 of the family's 1533-position model. The record is from RNAcentral.
AUACGGAGGGUGCAAGCGUUAUCCGGAAUCAUUGGGUUUAAAGGGUCCGUAGGCGGACUAUUAAGUCAGAGGUGAAAUCCCACAGCUCAACUGUGGAACUGCCUUUGAUACUGGUAGUCUUGAGUUAUAUGGAAGUAGAUAGAAUGUGUAGUGUAGCGGUGAAAUGCAUAGAUAUUACACAGAAUACCGAUUGCGAAGGCAGUCUACUACGUAUAUUCUGACGCUAAGGGACGAAAGCGUGGGGAGCGAACAGGAUUAGAAACCCCUGUAGUCC